GUUUCUCCAUUCGAACUUGGCCAUUCAAGGGAGUUUUCCAUCCUCAAGGGGGAGCGGUUGAGCCUAGACUGUAUUUCUGCAAGGAGAUGGUUGAGAAACAGCAAACGCUCCAAGAUGAAGGUCCAGACCGUGUGGUGUGUGGCUGUUUCUCUCUUUGCUGCAGGGCUUGCAGGCAAAGAGAUCCACCAGGCACCAAGCUUGAUGGUGAAGGAGGGCGGAAUAGCCCAGCUGGAAUGCAGUCAAACCUACGGACACGAUAACAUGUAUUGGUACAAGCAACAGCCCCAGGGGAUGGCCCUUCAGCUUCUCUAUUACUCCAUUGAAAAUGCUGUGGAGACCAACGAGAUCAAGUCGGACAGACUGACGGCUCGUCGGCUGGACAAUAAAGUCUUUUGCUUGAACAUCUCCUCGGUCGAAGCAAGCGAUACAGCCGUGUAUUUCUGUGCUAGCAGAAGAUACACAGUAGUCAGGAGCUCUUCCUGCAGUGUGCAAUAACCGCCUGCCCUGGCUGUGUUUAGCAACGUGACACCUGUUGUCUUUGAGAACUAGGCCUUAGAAGGGGUGGGCUGCUGUUUGAAAGGAGUUUUGCUCUGACUGGGGAAUUCCACCCGGCGUAAUGUGUGCUGCCACCGUUUCACUCUGACUGAUGGGAGAGGAACUGCAUUCAUCACCGCAGACCCUGCGCCAGGGUCACCUUGAUGUUGUUACAGUUCCCAUCAUCUCUGAAUAAUGACCAUGUUGGCUGGGGGCUGUAGUCGGAUGGAGGGCCACCAUUUCCCUAUCCCUGCCUUAUCAUUUAAGAAUUACAUCAUAGGGUCCAUCGAGGGCUGCUGAACCCUUGAGUUGCCGGUGAUGCAUUUCUCUCCUUCUGUUUUAAAUAAAACAAUAAAUAUCUCAGGCCCUUGGCUAAUUAGACAAUCUCUGGUUGGUUGGUUGGUUGGUUGGUUGGUUGGUUGGUUGGCAGGCAUCCUUUUGUCUAGGGUGACAAUGGAAGAAUGUGCCUUUGGGGGGUGAAGUCAAACCAUUGGCGAGUUACAGAGCCUGCCGUAGAGACCAAUUAGGGGAGAGACAUGUUUUGUUGCAACUGGGGAAGAUGAAGGUGUCUGAUUGUGCUGAUCUAUGGCCUUUUAAAUUGAGUGUGGGGGUUAUUGUUUUCAUUUGUUAUUACAGUAUGUUUUUUUGUGUUUUUAUGUUGCAAGCUGCCCUGUGAUCUUCGGAUGAAGCGUGGUCUAGAAAUUAAAUAAGUGUGUAAAAUAUAUUUUAUAGGAUGAUGCUUUGAGGCAACUAUUCCUUUUAAUCAGUUUUUGCUAACCGGGCAAAAUGUUUUGGACUCCCAUCAGCCCCAACCAGUGCAAUUGUUUGGCAAAGGGUACUUUACAGCUUCAUUUAAAAAGAAAGCAGAAAUUAGUUCCUU
This is a non-coding RNA of Podarcis muralis (Common wall lizard), 1414 nucleotides long. Lineage: Eukaryota; Metazoa; Chordata; Lepidosauria; Squamata; Lacertidae. The record is from the annotation of a RefSeq genome assembly.